UUUCCGUAGGUGAACCUGCGGAAGGAUCAUUACCGUAAGAAACUAGGGUUUGAGACUGUGUCCGUUUGGGACGUGUGCUCGACCCUUACUCUUAUCCACACACACCUUUGUGCACCAUGGGGGACGUGAGUGCCCCUUUUCACACGAAUACCAAGUUAUAUGCAUGGUUAUAUGAACUCUACGGAGUAACAUACAACUUUCAACAACGGAUCUCUUGGCUUUCGCAUCGAUGAAGAACGCAGC
Molecule: unclassified non-coding RNA, 243 nt
Filed under: uncultured fungus
Lineage: Eukaryota; Fungi
Description: sequence contains ITS1, 5.8S rRNA gene
Rfam family: 5.8S ribosomal RNA (bases 195-243)
Source: RNAcentral